GCCCAGGAAGCUCCGCCACUGGCAGCUGGGUACCGAUUCAUCACCGACGUGUUUAAAGUAUCCGUGUGUGUGCCUCCAAAAACCGUUUGUGGAGACAGCAGAGUGCCCGAGGCAGGAAACCGCUCCGGCCUGGAGGCGCCCCUGCCCGGACUCGUGGACUGCAGCGCUGUCCCGCUCGGAAGCCGAUCCUGGGAGUCCGAGCGGGGCCGCGGGGCCUGCGUGGCAGCCGAGUCGAGGGCUUCGGGCCGCGGGGCUGUGGAGCGCCCCUUGGCGCUGGGCCGCCGGCAGCCGUGAGCGCAUCACUGCAUUUCCCUGGAGGAAUUCCUCAUCUGUUGAAUGAGGGAGUUGAGGCGGACACGCUGGGAAAUGGCUUCGAGCUCACACACUGAUUUUCGUGAGUGGAAAGAGAAGCCCUUUCUUAGGCGUCUUCCAUACCACUGCAUGUUCCAGGGUCCUCCCUGGGCUCUCUGUCUCCCACGCCACCGCGAGCACGGCCUAAGCGGGCGAGCGAAGGCGCGACGGCGCCGAGAGCCGGCUGUGGUGGGUGCCGGGCGCGUCACCGCGGGCUGGCGGGGGAGGGGACGCUGGGAAGCUCUCCAGAAAGAGGAGCCGCCACCGAGCAAAUUCCCAUCUGCCACGCACCGCAGAGCCUCGCCCUCCGCCGCCAGCAUUUUCUUUCUUUGUUCUCCUAGCCCUACAAACGCUGGGUUUCCUUUCUCAUUCGUGGACUUUUUUCCCUGGAUCCUUCUUACUGCUCCUACCCUGUGGCCGCACGUCUGGCAGAUGCGCGGCGGGCGCUGCCUGAACCCCCGAAUCCUCACAAGCCUCUGUGCAGCGGCCACGGCCCUCAGCUAGCGGCGGGGAGACUGAAGCCGCAGGGUCAGGGGUCCCGCUCUGUCGCCCAGGCUGGAGUGCAGUGGAGCGAUCACGGUUCACUGCAGCCUCCCCACCUCCGACUCCAGCGAUCCUCUCGCCUCAGCCUCCCGAGUAGCUGGGACCACAGGUGCAUGCCACCAUGCCCGGCUAAUUGUUAAUAUUUUUUUUGGUAGAGAUGGGGCCUCCCUCUGUUGCCUAGGCUGGCCUUGAACUCCUGGGCUCAAGCGAUCUUCCAGCUUCGGCCUCCCAAAGUGCUGGCAUUACAGGCGUGAGUCACCCCGCCUGGCAAGAAUUGUUGUUUUGAAACUAACUGAGGUUCUCCCAUCAAUGGAUUUAAAUUGUUACUUUUUAAUGAUUUUUUUUUAAGUAGCCAAAUACUAAAUGUAUGUAAUUUGAAUGUGGAGAGAAGAUAAUGCAUGAUUCAAAUUAUGUGGCUGAUCAUGGGUGAUACACUGGGAUAUAGUUGUAAAAUAAGUAGUUCUCCUAGGGAAAAUAUUAAAGUACAACUGUGUUGGGUUUAAUAUCAGAAAAAUGUAAUUAAAAACAUUUCCUGCCAAUAAUUUCCAAUCUGAUACUUAAACAAAACAAAACAAUAAAAGUUUCCCAUCUC
RNAcentral lists this long non-coding RNA (1486 nucleotides) under Homo sapiens (human). Its description in RNAcentral is "CSGALNACT2 divergent transcript, transcript variant 2 (CSGALNACT2-DT)". Lineage: Eukaryota; Metazoa; Chordata; Mammalia; Primates; Hominidae. The record is from RNAcentral.